RNAcentral lists this long non-coding RNA (748 nucleotides) under Arachis ipaensis. RNAcentral's name for it is "long non-coding RNA (AIPA_LNC000613)". The record is from RNAcentral. Lineage: Eukaryota; Viridiplantae; Streptophyta; Magnoliopsida; Fabales; Fabaceae.
AUCAGAAUUUCAACAACUCCAUCAAAAUCAGAAAACCAAUAUCAAUCGCAAAAUCAAUAUCAAUCACAGCUUCAAUUCAAACUCAUCAUUCAGUCAUUCCAAACAAUCAUAAAUUAUUUGCAAAUAUCCACUAGACUUCCGUGGCAUUCAUAAUUUAAAACAGUUAAUUUCAAAAUAAAAUCCCCUACCUUCGUAUGAAAUCAAAAUCAUCGAAAGCUCCGGAGAAGCUUUCUGACUGGAUUGCUGAAGGAGAAAGUGUCAGAAAUCGUCUGUGCUUCCUAGAACUCCAGUUAGCCGAACUCAAAGAAAAAAGAAGCUACGUCACCGUCAACUUCUACCGGACAAAAAUAACGCCAACACGUAGAAGAGAAAGAUACGAACACUUUUAUCGAAUUAGAUUUUCUAUUGGAGUACGAAUUUAAAGAAAUCGGAAAAAGAAGAUGUUGAAAGGUCACGGUCUCUCCCAAGGGUUACUCUCGGCUCUCUCUCUCUCUCUUUUGAAAGUUCAACUCGGUUAUGAGCUGAAGAAAAAAGAUCAGAGGGUGAUAGAAACAUUGCAUAAGGAUAUGUGUCAAAGGAGGGGUUUAGGUAUCAUGUUUCCUUUCCUUUCCCUUUUCUCUUUCUUAAUCCAUUCGGUCAUAAUAAAUGGCAUUGGAUGAUAACUCAUGAUUAAGUGCCUUUGGUUAAUAAGGGAAAGAGACAUGUGUUAUGUUUUAUAUAUGUAUACAUACGGAUAUAAGCCAUGCUU